Long non-coding RNA from Hemicordylus capensis (graceful crag lizard), 494 nucleotides. RefSeq lists it as uncharacterized. The transcript has 3 exons. The record is from RefSeq and is a predicted model, not a curated record. Lineage: Eukaryota; Metazoa; Chordata; Lepidosauria; Squamata; Cordylidae.
UUCUAUAAGAGAUCCGAUCCCUUGUACGUUGCACUCCCAAGACAAGAUGGAACCCCCAGCGAACUCCCCUCGCCAUUGUAACUUGUGUUUUAGAGCCAUAGCACAAUCGGGCAGUGGGGAUAUUGAGGAUAUUUCUCAGAGAGAGCCUUAGCACUUGCUUACUGAGCAGCUGCUGGAGUCCACAGCAAAAGGAAGGCCUUGCAAAUAUUCAAGAAAACCGCCUGUGAGUGGUGACAAGUUGUGUGAUGUGAUUGCCAAACAUGCACUCUUCAAAACAAAGGCUUUGAAGCAUCACGUGUUUGACGGGAACAAUAAACCGAUAGCAUCAAUGAUGACAGAAGCCCCCUGUAGAAAGGUCCCCCCAACUUCGAAAGGCACUCUUGUAGAUGGCCGGAGGCAGCCAAAAGAUGCUCCCGUUGUUCUUCACAACCACAUUCGUAUACACAGAGACUUCGUAGGUGCCGUCGGCACUAAAGAAAUGGUGAAGAGAAGGG